CCUACGGGGGGCUGCAGUGGGGAAUAUUGGACAAUGGGGGGAACCCUGAUCCAGCCAUGCCGCGUGUGUGAAGAAGGCCCUCGGGUUGUAAAGCACUUUCAGUGAGGAAGAACGCCUGGUGGUUAAUACCCAUCAGGAAAGACAUCACUCACAGAAGAAGCACCGGCUAACUCCGUGCCAGCAGCCGCGGUAAUACGGAGGGUGCGAGCGUUAAUCGGAAUUACUGGGCGUAAAGCGCGCGUAGGUGGCUUGAUAAGCCGGUUGUGAAAGCCCCGGGCUCAACCUAGGAACGGCAUCCGGAACUGUCAAGCUAGAGUGCAGGAGAGGAAGGUAGAAUUCCCGGUGUAGCGGUGAAAUGCGUAGAGAUCGGGAGGAAUACCAGUGGCGAAGGCGGCCUUCUGGACUGACACUGACACUGAGGUGCGAAAGCGUGGGUAGCAAACAGGAUUAGAUACCCCUGUAGUC
Molecule: ribosomal RNA, 465 nt
Filed under: Vreelandella stevensii
Lineage: Bacteria; Pseudomonadati; Pseudomonadota; Gammaproteobacteria; Oceanospirillales; Halomonadaceae
Description: partial 16S ribosomal RNA
Rfam family: Bacterial small subunit ribosomal RNA
Source: RNAcentral